Molecule: transfer RNA, 75 nt
Filed under: soil metagenome
Also listed under: 1 other name
Rfam family: tRNA
About the family: Transfer RNA (tRNA) molecules are approximately 80 nucleotides in length. Their secondary structure includes four short double-helical elements and three loops (D, anti-codon, and T loops). Further hydrogen bonds mediate the characteristic L-shaped molecular structure. tRNAs have two regions of fundamental functional importance: the anti-codon, which is responsible for specific mRNA codon recognition, and the 3' end, to which the tRNAs corresponding amino acid is attached (by aminoacyl-tRNA synthetases). tRNAs cope with the degeneracy of the genetic code in two manners: having more than one tRNA (with a specific anti-codon) for a particular amino acid; and 'wobble' base-pairing, i.e. permitting non-standard base-pairing at the 3rd anti-codon position.
Source: RNAcentral
CGGGGUGUAGCGCAGGGGUAGCGCGCGGCGUUUGGGACGCUGAGGUCGCUGGUUCAAAUCCAGUCACCCCGACCA